CUGUACCCAGUUAUAAGGAUAAACCUAUUAUCAAGCCUCUGGAACAGGUUCUAGCUAAUAGUUUGCGGUACUUUUUGAGGAGGCCAACAACAGAGGAGGCAAGCUUUUAGUAACAUCCUAUCACAGAAGAUUGGCAUGAAUGAGGAUUCAAACUCUUAUUGAGGAGGCAGACAAUCAAUCUGUAAGAAAUUUGAAUGUAAUUUCAUUAAAUUAAAAACUAAAGAAAAGAACCUUUUCCAGUUUUAUCAUUGUAUUUCUUUUGAGGAAUUUUACCUCAAAAGAUUGUCAUGUCAAUACCGAUUUUAAUACAUGUAUAAUUGUUGGCAAUUCUUUAUUCAAA
Asparagus officinalis (garden asparagus) is the source of this 340-nucleotide long non-coding RNA. RefSeq lists it as uncharacterized. The record is from RefSeq and is a predicted model, not a curated record. NCBI's taxonomy places the organism in Eukaryota, Viridiplantae, Streptophyta, Magnoliopsida, Asparagales, Asparagaceae. The transcript is spliced from 2 exons.